This 105-nucleotide small nuclear RNA is filed under the name Loxodonta africana (African savanna elephant). The record is from RNAcentral. Lineage: Eukaryota; Metazoa; Chordata; Mammalia; Proboscidea; Elephantidae.
GUACUUGCUUAGACAGCACAUGUACUGAAAUCAGAUGAUGGAGAGAAGAUUAGCGUGGCCCUAAACGAGGAUGAUAUGCAGAUUCAUGGAUCUUUCCAUCUUUUU